Molecule: unclassified non-coding RNA, 2756 nt
Filed under: Hevea brasiliensis (rubber tree)
Lineage: Eukaryota; Viridiplantae; Streptophyta; Magnoliopsida; Malpighiales; Euphorbiaceae
Source: RNAcentral
GCAUUCUACGUGAACGCAAAUAUGAACUCCUCCAUUCUUCCCUCUCGAAAGCUUUAUCAUCUGCACAAAACCCCAAACAACUUCACAAAGUCCACACCCUCUUAAUCACAUCCGGUCUUGAAAUAUCUGCCUUCUUCUCUGGCAAGCUCAUAAGCAAAUAUGCCCAGCUCAAGGAGCCCAUUUCUUCUUUUUCAGUCUUUCACCAACUCUCUCCUGCUGCCAACGUCUAUCAGUGGAAUUCGAUAAUUAGAGCGCUCACCCACUGUGGGUUGUUUUCAAAAGCUCUUGAACUUUACGCCAAAAUGCGGGAUAUGAAACUUAAGCCUGAUACGUACACAUUCCCUUCUGUGAUUAAUGCGUGCGCAGCUGCGGGGGAUUUUCAGACGGGUUGUGUUGUUCACAAUCAUGUUUUGGAAAUGGGUUUUGGAUUUGAUUUGUAUAUUGGGAAUGCUCUAGUAGAUAUGUAUGCAAGGUUCGGUGAUUUGAUAAAAGCACGUAAUAUAUUUGAGGAAAUGCCCCACAGGGACAUUGUGUCGUGGAAUAGCUUGAUUUCGGGGUAUAGUGCUAAUGCGUAUUGGGAGGAGGCUUUAGAAAUUUAUUACCAGGCAAGAAUAGCUGGGUUGAAACCCGACCCUUUUACCAUUUCAAGUGUCCUCCCUGCUUUUGGAGGCUUGCUUGCUAUUAAAGAGGGUGAGGUGGUUCAUGGAUUGGUCGAAAAGCUUGGGAUCAAUGCCGAUAUCAUAGUGAGCAAUGGACUUCUGUCUAUCUAUUUCAAAUUUGGUAGGCUAAUGGAUGCUCGAAGAGUUUUCAGCCAGAUGGUUGUCAAGGAUACGGUCAGUUGGAACACUUUGAUAUGUGGAUAUUGUCAAAUGGAAUUGUUUGAAGAGUCGAUUGAGUUAUUUAUGGAGAUGGUAAGGAGCUUUAGACCAGAUUUGUUGACAAUUACGUCUAUUCUUCGUGCUUGUGGUCUCCUGCAGGACUUGGAAUUUGGAAAGUUUGUUCAUGAUUACAUGAUAAGAAGUGGUUUUGAAUGCGAUGUCACAGCAAGUAAUAUUAUUAUUGAUAUGUAUGCUAAGUGUGGGGAUUUAGUAGCUUCAGGAAAAGUCUUUGACAGGAUGAAAUAUAGGGAUUCUGUGUCAUGGAACACAUUGAUCAAUGGUUAUAUUCAAAGUGGGAGCUAUGAUAAAGGGGUGAAGCUUUUUAAGAAGAUGAAGAUGGACUUGAAACCUGAUUGUAUCACUUUUGUGGCACUCCUGUCUAUCUCUACUCGAUUAGCAGACAUGGAACUGGGAAAAGAAAUCCACUGUGAUUUAGCUAAAUUAGGAUUUGAUUCAGAUUUGGUAGUAUGUAAUGCUUUAGUUGAUAUGUAUGCUAAGUGUGGCAAAAUAGAUUAUGCCCUUAUGGUUUUUGAAAAUAUGAAAGUUCAUGACAUAGUAACGUGGAAUACAGUUAUUGCAGCUUGUGUCCAGGCUGAAGAUUGUAGUUUGGGAUUAAGAAUGGUUAACCAGAUGAAGAAUGAGGAAUUCAUGCCAGAUAUGGCUACCAUGUUAGGUAUAUUGCCUAUCUGUUCUGCAAUAGCUGCCAAAAGGCAAGGGAAAGAGGUUCAUGCUUGUACUUUCAAGCUUGGAUCUGAGUCAGCUGUUUCCGUUGGGAAUGCAUUGAUUGAAAUGUACUCCAAAUGUGGCAAUUUAAUGUACUCUAUCAGAGUGUUUGAGCAUAUGAAAACAAAAGAUGUGGUGACAUGGACUGCAUUGAUCUCUGCAUAUGGGAUGCAUGGUGAGGGAAAGAAUGCUUUGAAAUCUUUUGAGGAGAUGUUAGCAGCUGGGCUUAUUCCUGAUCAUGUCGCUUUUAUUGCCAUCAUCUAUGCCUGUAGUCAUUCAGGUUUAGUAGAAGAGGGUCUGGCUUACUUUGACCGCAUGAAGAAGGAUUACAACAUUGAGCCCAGUAUUGAACACUACGCUUGUGUGGUUGAUCUUCUGUCCCGGUCUGGCCAGUUAUCUAAAGCAGAAGAGUUUAUCAAUUCAAUGCCACUGAAGCCAGAUGCAAGCAUAUGGGGAGCUUUACUUAGUGCUUCUCGAGCAAGUGGAGAACUAAAGAUUGCAGAACGCAUCUCACAACAUAUUGUUCAAUUAGAUUUUGAUGAUCCUGGAUAUUAUGUUUUAGUAGCAAAUGUUUAUGCAGCUUUAGGGAGGUGGGAUGAUGUCAGAAUGAUACGACAAUCCAUAAAGGUCAAAGGACUGAAAAAAGAUCCUGGAUGCAGUUGGAUUGAAAUUAAGAAAAGGGCGUAUGCUUUUGGGACUGGAGAUAAGUUCUUUAAACAGUAUGAAAAGGUAAAUAAGUUAUUAGGGACCCUUGCUAAUUUGAUGGCCAAAGAAGGUUAUGUGGCUGAUUUGCAAUAUGCUCUUCAUGAUGUUGAGGAGGAUGAAAAGAGAGGCUUACUUUAUGGCCACAGUGAAAGGCUUGCCAUAGCAUUUGGAUUGUUAAAUACAGAACCAGGGACCCCCUUACAAAUAUUGAAAAACCUUCGUGUUUGUGGGGAUUGUCACACUUGGACCAAGUACGUAUCAAAGAUUGUAAAACGGGAAAUAUUAGUAAGAGAUGCCAAUAGAUUUCAUAAGUUCCAAGAUGGGACAUGUAGCUGUGGAGAUCAUUGGUAAUAUACUUCUUCAAAUAUCACAUUUUUUAAUGAUAAACAAGUUGAGUGAUGGAUGAUGGAGAUUCCUUGGGCACCUUCUAUGAGCCAAAGGUAGACCCAA